UGGGGAAUAUUGCACAAUGGGCGAAAGCCUGAUGCAGCAACGCCGCGUGAGUGAUGAAGGCCUUCGGGUUGUAAAGCUCUGUCUUUUGGGACGAUAAUGACGGUACCAAAGGAGGAAGCCACGGCUAACUACGUGCCAGCAGCCGCGGUAAUACGUAGGUGGCAAGCGUUGUCCGGAUUUACUGGGCGUAAAGGAUGCGUAGGCGGAUUUUUAAGUGAGAUGUGAAAUACCCGGGCUUAACUUGGGUGCUGCAUUUCAAAACUGGGAAUCUAGAGUGCGGGAGAGGAGAAUGGAAUUCCUAGUGUAGCGGUGAAAAUGCGUAGAGAUUAGGAAGAACACCAGUGGCGAAGGCGAUUCUCUGGACCGU
This 367-nucleotide ribosomal RNA is filed under the name uncultured bacterium. Its description in RNAcentral is "partial 16S ribosomal RNA". It matches the Rfam family "Bacterial small subunit ribosomal RNA", at positions 355 to 737 of the family's 1533-position model. The record is from RNAcentral.